GACGAACGCUGGCGGCGUGCUUAACACAUGCAAGUCGAGCGGUAAGGCCUUUCGGGGUCCACGAGCGGCGAACGGGCGAGUAACACGUGGGUGAUCUGCCCUGCACUUCGGGAUAAGCCUGUGAAACUGGGGCUAAUACCGGAUAUGACCUCCUAUCGCAGGGUGGGGGGUGGAAAGAUUUAUCGGUGCAGGAUGGGCCCGCGGCCUAUCAGCUUGUUGGUGGGGUAAUGGCCUACAAAGGCGACGACGGGUAGCCGACCUGAGAGGGUGACCGGCCACACUGGGCCUGAGACACGGCCCAGACUCCUACGGGAGGCAGCAGUGGGGAAUAUUGCACAAUGGGCGAGAGCCUGAUGCAGCGACGCCGCGUGCGGGAUGACGGCCUUCGGGUUGUAAACCUCUUUCAGCAGGGACGAAGCGCAAGUGACGGUACCUGCAGAAGAAGCACCGGCUAACUACGUG
This 462-nucleotide ribosomal RNA is filed under the name uncultured bacterium. RNAcentral describes it as "partial 16S ribosomal RNA". It matches the Rfam family "Bacterial small subunit ribosomal RNA", at positions 28 to 507 of the family's 1533-position model. The record is from RNAcentral.